GCCCGGUUAGCUCAGUUGGUAGAGCACAGGACCGAUAAUCCUGGGGUCGCUGGUUCGAACCCAGCACCGGGUACCA
RNAcentral lists this transfer RNA (76 nucleotides) under Burkholderia ubonensis. RNAcentral's name for it is "tRNA-Ile". It matches the Rfam family "tRNA". From Rfam's summary of the family: Transfer RNA (tRNA) molecules are approximately 80 nucleotides in length. Their secondary structure includes four short double-helical elements and three loops (D, anti-codon, and T loops). Lineage: Bacteria; Pseudomonadati; Pseudomonadota; Betaproteobacteria; Burkholderiales; Burkholderiaceae. The record is from RNAcentral.